AAAUGGUUCACUGGUUACUGUUAUGGUCAGUUGUUAUUUUAAAACAUGUAAAGAAGGUAUUACAGAGAAAUACAGAAUAAUUUAUGAUUUUGAGAAUACCCAAGAAUUGCUGGGAAUUCCAAUUUCUUGUUCCGGAAUCCUGAAGAUUAUUGUCUCUCAAGAAUUUGCAGACACGGUACAGUCCCUGGCACGAGCAGACACUCAGCGUAUAUUUAGAAAGAAGGGAUGUUAUUUUGUUGUUUGAUGGUCCCAGCUGUCCUAUGAAGUAGAAGUGAAUGUGCCAUUUUACACGUGAGAAUCCUGGCUCUCCUUUGAGACUGACGGGGGACAACAUCCUUAAGAUUCUUAAAAGCUGCAUUGUUCGCUGAGAUGGCCUGUGCGCCACCCCUCAGGACUCCUGGAAGUACUGAUAGUGCCUUUGCUCGUCUUCACCUGCUCUGUGGCCCAGGAGACUGCUGGUUGAGUUCAGCCACCAGAUGACGCCAGCUGAAGGUCAGUGGGGGUGGUGGUGAAUGAAGUCACAGUGUUCAUUCCUCCAGCUCCCUCCCAGGAGCGAUGGGAUACCUGGGCCUGGUGCUGACCCACUGUAUGAAUGCCAAUCACUCCAUGCAAGUCAGAGUACAGAAGCUGGCCCCAUAGAGGUCCCCUGAUGGCUACCUCUCCAGAAGAGCCCCAAGCAACAGAACACACACCCAAUCCAUGCUGUAACUCUGCACCUGCCAAGGCCCACCCUUCUUUCUCCAACCAAUAAAGCCCCCAGUUUUCUUGGGGACUACAGACAAUUGGAAUGAUCCCACCCACCCAUCUCUGUGCAGUGUGUUGAGAGUGCUGAGAAUCUCUAGUCCUUGACUCUCCUCUUUGGCAUACAUCCCAUUCUCUUUUCCACUGGAUCUUGAGGAGACAGGAGGCAUCAUUAAAGCUUGUGUGUGAAUCUGUUAUUUCAUAAAAGAUCACUUAUUAGGGGAAUAAGAAUGUGCUUUUAGUUCUACUCCUGAAACUAGAAAAUCAGUCUUUAAUCUUAUAGGAAAGGAGACCUGGUCCUCUAUACUGAUAGGGGAAAAUAUGGGAUAUAUGUAGUUCCCAAAUAUGGUAAUCACGGGACCCUCUUAGCGAACAAACUUUGGUUGAAAAAUG
This 1134-nucleotide long non-coding RNA is filed under the name Equus caballus (horse). RNAcentral's name for it is "lncRNA (ENSECAG00000049394.1)". The record is from RNAcentral. Lineage: Eukaryota; Metazoa; Chordata; Mammalia; Perissodactyla; Equidae.